This 433-nucleotide ribosomal RNA is filed under the name uncultured bacterium. RNAcentral's name for it is "partial 16S ribosomal RNA". It matches the Rfam family "Bacterial small subunit ribosomal RNA", at positions 29 to 507 of the family's 1533-position model. The record is from RNAcentral.
AACGAACGCUGGCGGCAUGCCUAACACAUGCAAGUCGAACGAGACCUUCGGGUCUAGUGGCGCACGGGUGCGUAACGCGUGGGAACCUGCCCUUAGGUUCGGAAUACCUCCCCGAAAGGGGUGCUAAUACCGGAUAAUGUCUUCGGACCAAAGAUUUAUCGCCUUUGGAUGGGCCCGCGUUGGAUUAGCUAGUUGGUAGGGUAAAAGCCUACCAAGGCGACGAUCCAUAGCUGGUCUGAGAGGAUGAUCAGCCACACUGGGACUGAGACACGGCCCAGACUCCUACGGAAGGCAGGAGUGGGGAAUAUUGGACGAUGAGCGAAAGCCUGAUCCAGCAAUGCCGCGUGAGUGAUGAAGGCCUUAGGGUUGUAAAGCUCUUUUACCCGGGAUGAUAGUGACGGUACCGGGAGAAUAAGCACCGGCUAACUCCGUG